RNAcentral lists this ribosomal RNA (440 nucleotides) under uncultured bacterium. RNAcentral's name for it is "bacterial SSU rRNA". It matches the Rfam family "Bacterial small subunit ribosomal RNA", at positions 338 to 792 of the family's 1533-position model. The record is from RNAcentral.
CCUACGGGGGGCAGCAGUGAGGAAUUUUCCGCAAUGGGCGCAAGCCUGACGGAGCAAUACCGCGUGAGGGAUGACGGCCUUUGGGUUGUAAACCUCUUUUUUCAAGGAGGAAGUUCUGACGUGUACUUGAAGAAUAAGCAUCGGCUAACUCCGUGCCAGCAGCCGCGGUAAGACGGAGGAUGCAAGUGUUAUCCGGAAUUAUUGGGCGUAAAGCGUCUGUAGGUUGCCUAACAAGUCUGUUGUUAAAGGUUAAAGCUUAACUUUAAAACUGCAGCAGAAACUGCUAGGCUUGAGUACAGUCGAAGUAGAGGGAAUUUCCAGUGAAGCGGUGAAAUGCGUAGAUAUUGGAAGGAACACCAAUGGCGAAAGCACUCUACUAGACUUUUACUGACACUCAGAGACGAAAGCUAGGGUAGCAAAUGGGAUUAGAUACCCUGGUA